Molecule: ribosomal RNA, 1267 nt
Filed under: Salmonella enterica subsp. enterica serovar Typhimurium
Lineage: Bacteria; Pseudomonadati; Pseudomonadota; Gammaproteobacteria; Enterobacterales; Enterobacteriaceae
Description: bacterial LSU rRNA
Rfam family: Bacterial large subunit ribosomal RNA
Source: RNAcentral
CACGGGAGACACACGGCGGGUGCUAACGUCCGUCGUGAAGAGGGAAACAACCCAGACCGCCAGCUAAGGUCCCAAAGUCAUGGUUAAGUGGGAAACGAUGUGGGAAGGCCCAGACAGCCAGGAUGUUGGCUUAGAAGCAGCCAUCAUUUAAAGAAAGCGUAAUAGCUCACUGGUCGAGUCGGCCUGCGCGGAAGAUGUAACGGGGCUAAACCAUGCACCGAAGCUGCGGCAGCGAACGUAUCACUUAAAGCGAUUCAGCGGGUUACGAUUGACGGAGCGAAGCGACGUCAAAGCGUAUACAAAGUCGAGUCGGUUUAAGGAUACGUUCGUUGGGUAGGGGAGCGUUCUGUAAGCCCGUGAAGGUGGCCUGUGAGGGUUGCUGGAGGUAUCAGAAGUGCGAAUGCUGACAUAAGUAACGAUAAAGCGGGUGAAAAGCCCGCUCGCCGGAAGACCAAGGGUUCCUGUCCAACGUUAAUCGGGGCAGGGUGAGUCGACCCCUAAGGCGAGGCCGAAAGGCGUAGUCGAUGGGAAACGGGUUAAUAUUCCCGUACUUGGUGUUACUGCGAAGGGGGGACGGAGAAGGCUAUGUUGGCCGGGCGACGGUUGUCCCGGUUUAAGCGUGUAGGUGUGUGUUCCAGGUAAAUCCGGUUCACUUUAACACUGAGGCGUGACGACGAGGCACUACGGUGCUGAAGCAACAAAUGCCCUGCUUCCAGGAAAAGCCUCUAAGCAUCAGGUAACAUCAAAUCGUACCCCAAACCGACACAGGUGGUCAGGUAGAGAAUACCAAGGCGCUUGAGAGAACUCGGGUGAAGGAACUAGGCAAAAUGGUGCCGUAACUUCGGGAGAAGGCACGCUGACACGUAGGUGAAGUGAUUUACUCAUGGAGCUGAAGUCAGUCGAAGAUACCAGCUGGCUGCAACUGUUUAUUAAAAACACAGCACUGUGCAAACACGAAAGUGGACGUAUACGGUGUGACGCCUGCCCGGUGCCGGAAGGUUAAUUGAUGGGGUCAGCGUAAGCGAAGCUCCUGAUCGAAGCCCCGGUAAACGGCGGCCGUAACUAUAACGGUCCUAAGGUAGCGAAAUUCCUUGUCGGGUAAGUUCCGACCUGCACGAAUGGCGUAAUGAUGGCCAGGCUGUCUCCACCCGAGACUCAGUGAAAUUGAACUCGCUGUGAAGAUGCAGUGUACCCGCGGCAAGACGGAAAGACCCCGUGAACCUUUACUAUAGCUUGACACUGAACAUUGAGCCUUGAUGUGUAGGAU